Long non-coding RNA from Apis dorsata (giant honeybee), 1105 nucleotides. RefSeq lists it as uncharacterized. NCBI's taxonomy places the organism in Eukaryota, Metazoa, Arthropoda, Insecta, Hymenoptera, Apidae. The record is from RefSeq and is a predicted model, not a curated record. The transcript has 3 exons.
AAAUAUAUAUAAUUUUUAUUAAUCAACGAGUCAAAUCAGCGUAAAAAUCACUUGGCUAGAAAAUUAAAUUAAAAUUGCAUCGUACGAGCAUUCGUAUUUCAACGAAAUAGAGGCGAAAGAUUACACCAGAUGGAAAAAUAACUCGUUCGAUGCAGUCCCACGAUUCUUUUACAACAACCGAUGCGACUGGCCGAUGAUCGAGUUUCCACGUUUUAUGGAAUUAUCGGGGAGAAUCGAUGGCGUUGAAUUUUAUUUUGACAUUUAUACGCGCAUCGAAGCGUGUAAUCAGCAAAGUGGUCCCGGAUACAGUUUCCAUCCCAAUAUAAAUUGGCGGCCGCCUGACGUCUGUUUAAUCGUUGCCGGCUGCAGAAGUAACGAAAUUAAAUAGACAUCGGGAUAAUGAUAAUAAUAACAAUAGAACAAUUGUACGUUUUAAGCGGAACAGCGCGCAAAAGCAGCCACCAGUGUUCCGUGAACGCAGCAUCAUUAGUGUCAGCUGGCUCGUGUAAACGAAUUCUGCUCACAUACGGUUGUUGUCAUUGUUGUUGUUACAUUUAUUCCGCCGGCUAGUGGACAGAUACUCUAAUUUCUCGUUUCAACGUCUGAACACGUUGUUACAUUAAAACGUGAUUUACGUAACAACCGUGGCACAGAAUUUGUUGUGUACUUAAAUUUUAAAUUAUUAUCAAUUGUGUACAACCGUGUGAAACAAACCGUUGACGCACGAUUUCGGGAAAUGGGUUAAUAGAAUCCCGAUUCGAGCACGCCACUGAACGAGGUCGACCGUUUAGUUCUCUCCUCGAAGAAGAGGAAAAGUUCAUCCUUUGCAGAUCCUGCCACGUCGUCGAUCAAAUUCUUGGAAACUCGAAUUUCCCCGGCCUUUUGUGUACUCGGAAUGGAAAAUCCAAUCGGAAAGGGGAGAAGGGAUAACGGGAUGAAAGUCGAGAUCUGACAUUAUUGAAAUAAUGAAAAUGAUGUUUCAGUUUCUAAGUAGUUUCAGGUGGUAUAUCUUCUAUUCGUAAGUCAAGUUUAAGACAUUAUAAAUUACAUACAUGAACAUUAUAAAUUUUAAUGUAAUAUUAAUUAAUUAAGUAUUGAUAUUUUA